GACGAACGCUGGCGGCGUGCUUAAUACAUGCAAGUCGAACGGAAAGGCCCUGCUUUUGUGGGGUGCUCGAGUGGCGAACGGGUGAGUAACACGUGAGUAUCCUGCCCUUGACUUUGGGAUAACUUCUGGAAAAUGGGGAUAAUACCGGGUAGGAGCUCCUGCUGCACGGUGGGGGUUGGAAAGUUACGGCGGUUUGGGAUGGACUAGCGGCUUAUCAGCUUGUUGGUGAGGUAGUGGCUUACCAAGGCUUUGACGGGUAGCCGGCCUGGGAGGGUGACCGGGGACCAUGGGACUGAGAUACGGCGCAGUCGGCAACGGGAGGCAGCAGGGGGAAAUAUUGCACAAUGAGCGCGAGCCAGUGACAGCAAUGUCGGGUUCGGGAAGACGUCUUUCGAGGUAUAAACCGCUGUCGCAGGUAACGAACAGGUAUUGACGGUAAUGGGUAAAGAAGCACCGGCUAACUACGUG
RNAcentral lists this ribosomal RNA (468 nucleotides) under uncultured bacterium. Its description in RNAcentral is "partial 16S ribosomal RNA". It matches the Rfam family "Bacterial small subunit ribosomal RNA", at positions 28 to 507 of the family's 1533-position model. The record is from RNAcentral.